RNAcentral lists this unclassified non-coding RNA (342 nucleotides) under soil metagenome. RNAcentral describes it as "partial contains 5.8S ribosomal RNA, internal transcribed spacer 2, and large subunit ribosomal RNA". The stretch from base 1 to 120 matches the Rfam family "5.8S ribosomal RNA", at positions 35 to 154 of the family's 154-position model. The record is from RNAcentral.
GAUGAAGAACGUAGCGAAAUGCGAUAAGUAAUGUGAAUUGCAGAAUUCAGUGAAUCAUCGAAUCUUUGAACGCACAUUGCGCCCGCUAGUAUUCUGGCGGGCAUGCCUGUCCGAGCGUCAUUUCAACCCUCAAGCCCCCGGGCUUGGUGUUGGGGAUCGGCGAGCCUCCGCGCCCGCCGUCCCCUAAAUCUAGUGGCGGUCUCGCUGUAGCUUCCUCUGCGUAGUAGCACACCUCGCACUGGGAAACAGCGCGGCCACGCCGUUAAACCCCCAACUUCUGAACGUUUGACCUCGGAUCAGGUAGGAAUACCCGCUGAACUUAAGCAUAUCAAUAGCGGAGGA